UGGGGCAGACCCACAAGUGUGGGGCCGGGACCCCCAAGUGUGGGGCAGGACCUAUAAGUGGGGGUCCCGUAACUGCUGGGCUGUUACGUGGGGGUCCUAAUGAACUUAGGGGGGAGGAGGGGGGUUCCAGGUCUAUGGGGCAGACCCCCAAGUGUGGGGCAGGACCUAUAAGUGGGGGUCCCGUAACUGUUGGGCUGUUACAUGGGGUCCUAAUGGGCUUAUGGGGCGGGUACAUAGCUAUGGGGCAAGCUCCGGAUCUAUGGGGCAGACCCACAAGUGUGGGGUGGGACCUCCAGGUGUGGGGCAGACCCACACAUGGGGGGUCCUGUAACCGUUGGGCUGUUCCAUGGGGUCCUAAGGGAUUUAUAGAGGGGGGAGGGGCUCCAGAUCUAUGGGGCAGACCCACAAGUGUGGGGCGAGACCUACAAAUGUGGGGUGGGACCCCCAAGUGUGGGGCAGACCCCCAAGUGUGGGGCGUCCCCGAUGUUCUCUUACAUGGGGGGG
RNAcentral lists this long non-coding RNA (504 nucleotides) under Numida meleagris (helmeted guineafowl). RNAcentral describes it as "lncRNA (ENSNMEG00000002690.1)". The record is from RNAcentral. Lineage: Eukaryota; Metazoa; Chordata; Aves; Galliformes; Numididae.